Molecule: long non-coding RNA, 1627 nt
Organism: Herpailurus yagouaroundi (jaguarundi)
Lineage: Eukaryota; Metazoa; Chordata; Mammalia; Carnivora; Felidae
Exons: 3
Source: RefSeq, a predicted model, not a curated record
AUGGUUAUCAACCGCUGCGGCUUACGCGGAUUAACUUCUGAACGCCGAGGCCGGUCCCGUUACUUGGGUUCGUGCUGUUUGCUCACGUGAAUCACAUCACACGCGCUGAUGCAUCAGGAAGUGGCUGGAGCCCGUACUCAGUGGAAGAUGUUUCCAUCCCGGAGCUGAGGGGACAACUCUGGAGGCAGAACAUUCCAGUAAGGGAGUGACCCAGAAGGCAACGUCUCCAUCCAGCCAAGGCCUUCGCUCUCGCCUCGCACGGGAAGCAUGGCUGCAGACAGUCACGCGUUCAGAGAGGAGGCCCCUCUGGUGGGCACGGCGCGGGACGCGGCUCGGGCUUCCUGGAGCAGGUGUGCAGAGCGGGCCUCUUCUUUCCCGGUUCCGAUCCCGGCCGGAAUGCACUCGGGAGCACAGAGCAGCGGGAGCUCUCGGCGUUUAUUUAAAGAAGCCGAAAGGUUAAAACCACCCAGUGGUCCGCAGAGCGGAAGGACAGGCCCUUUCAAGCAGCCUGGCCCCGUGCGACCCGGGCCGUGUGGGUCUUCCAGUUCGUCGGCACGCACACUCGUGUCUCCCGACUCCAGGCUACACGGCAGCGUGCUAGGCAAUGAGGCGAAACCGGGAGCCAGCAGCCCGUGGGGCCGGCUCUGUGCUCACAUCCCUCACACCCUCCGCAUACAGCUGGCGCCUCUCCCCACCGCAGGAGGCGGGCGUUGUCAUUAUCCCUCGCUUGCGGACGGCGAAACUGAGGCGUGGGGGACGGCGAGGCCUGGCAGCGUACGGGGCAGAGCUGGGGUUUGGAGCCAGGUUGUGCGGCCCCAGCGUCCAAGCUCGAGGCCGUCCGAGCUCACUUGCCUCCGCGAGACCUCUCUCCUGGGCUCUGCUCCAGACUGACCUCCCCAGAGCCCUCUGCUCCUGCCGACAAGCAGGUUAGAAACGGACCCCGACCUCCACCGUGGGAAGGGCCACCCCACACUCAUCACACUCAGAGCCCUGAGGUCCGACGGGUGAGGGGCUUCGUCUGAGCCCCCACCCCCCCCCCCGGCCAUGGCUCCCUGCGUCACUCCCGGCUGUGUCCCCAGAAAGCCCCCCGGAGCCACACGGAGGCACCGCCACACACGUGCAGAAUCGGAAUCACCAGGUUGCAACAGUCCAUCCCUCAAGUGCAACCCUCAAGGGGAAGCUCUUAGCUCUUUGGUCUCUGGACACGGGAGACUGAGAGACGAAAACCACCAUCAGGUAGGUGCCCCCCCCAAGGCCGUGCCGCUGCCCGUGGCCUCCCCGAGAAGGCUUUGCUCCCAGAGACCCACCGACUCUGGCCCCAGACUCCCCGAGUGGGAAGCAAGGUGGUGGAGGGGUGCUGGGGCACAGCAGGGCCUGCUCACACACGCCGGCUUCGCCCGGACAGGCUCCGAGGUGCAGGGGAAGUGUGUCCGGUGGGAGCGUCGAGUGCAGAGGUGCCCCUGGGCCCCCGUUUGCCGGCCUGGUAUCGACAGUACCUGCAGUCUGGUCCAGUGUUUUAGGAUUUGCUGUCUGACUCGCACAGCAAACCCUGCCCGUCUCUCGAAGUCAUAGGAAGGUCCACGUGCCUGCCCGGCGAGAGGGAGCAGAAGCCCAAGCGGAGGGCACU